Molecule: long non-coding RNA, 687 nt
Organism: Oncorhynchus masou masou (cherry salmon)
Lineage: Eukaryota; Metazoa; Chordata; Actinopteri; Salmoniformes; Salmonidae
Exons: 3
Source: RefSeq, a predicted model, not a curated record
AUAGCUGCGGCGUCUCUGUCGGAUCUCGUCGGUUUAUCGAUCUCACUUCAGCUCAGGAUCCCAUUCCGCUACUGCUGUCCCAUAUGAAGAGGGGGAAAGAAAGCACUCCUCGACCACGCACAUUCACACCGAAGCCUUCUUCAACUUAGUCGCUGACCAGCUUUUUCGCAGCGGAACAUGAGCGAUAAAGAUAAAAACGCCGGCCUCUUCUCUUCUCACCUGAGACAGCUGCUGGGCACUGUCAUGUUGGACUCCGAUUUCGCUGCUGCUGCUGGUAUUGAAAUAUCUGACCGCUGCUAUUUGCUUGCUAAGCACGAUCAUAACCCUUUAUCCUUGUGACAAAGUCACCUCAAUCGUGUAGCAGUCUAAUGCUUGUGGCUAGCUGAUGAAGUGGAGCUGCUGCAUGGUCUUAGCCGUUGCUGUUUCUGUAAUCUGUGAGCCUACCCCUGCCAAACCCGGACGAUGCUGUUUCUCCACCGACUAUUGGAUAAAGGGAACCGUAAGGUGUUAACAACGCUUGGUGGAGACUAAAGAUUCUGACUGCCAAUGUGCCCAGCCUGAGACAUGCCCUUAACACUCGAACCGCUGGGCCUCGAGGGACGCCCCUUCAGAACCGCUGGGCCUCGAUGGACACCCCUUCAGAAGCGCUGGGCCUCGAGGGACGCCCCUUCAGAAGCGCCGGGCCUC